This 316-nucleotide ribosomal RNA is filed under the name uncultured Synechocystis sp. Its description in RNAcentral is "bacterial SSU rRNA". It matches the Rfam family "Bacterial small subunit ribosomal RNA", at positions 196 to 525 of the family's 1533-position model. The record is from RNAcentral. Lineage: Bacteria; Bacillati; Cyanobacteriota; Cyanophyceae; Synechococcales; Merismopediaceae.
UGCCGGAAGGUGAAUUAUUCUUCGGCCUGAGGAUGACCUCGCGUCCGAUUAGCUAGUUCGUGGGGUUAGAACCCUAUAGGCGACUAUCGGUAGCUGGUCUGAGAGGAUGAUCAGCCACACUGGGACUGAGACACGGCCCAGACUCCUACGGGAGGCAGCAGUGGGGAAUUUUCCGCAAUGGGCGAAAGCCUGACGGAGCAAGACCGCGUGAGGGAAGAAGGUCUGUGGAUUCAAAACCUCUUUUGAUUGGGAAGAAUACUGACGGUACCAAUCGAAUCAGCCUCGGCUAACUCCGUGGCCAGCAGCCGCGGUAAUA